GAUGAACGCUAGCGACAGGCUUAACACAUGCAAGUCGAGGGGCAGCACAGGUAGCAAUACCGGGUGGCGACCGGCGCACGGGUGAGUAACGCGUAUGCAACUUGCCUAUCAGAGGGGGAUAACCCGGCGAAAGUCGGACUAAUACCGCAUGAAGCAGGGGCCCCGCAUGGGGAUAUUUGCUAAAGAUUCAUCGCUGAUAGAUAGGCAUGCGUUCCAUUAGGCAGUUGGCGGGGUAACGGCCCACCAAACCGACGAUGGAUAGGGGUUCUGAGAGGAAGGUCCCCCACAUUGGUACUGAGACACGGACCAAACUCCUACGGGAGGCAGCAGUGAGGAAUAUUGGUCAAUGGCCGAGAGGCUGAACCAGCCAAGUCGCGUGAGGGAUGAAGGUUCUAUGGAUCGUAAACCUCUUUUAUAAGGGAAUAAAGUGCGGGACGUGUCCCGUUUUGUAUGUACCUUAUGAAUAAGGAUCGGCUAACUCCGUG
This 485-nucleotide ribosomal RNA is filed under the name uncultured bacterium. RNAcentral's name for it is "bacterial SSU rRNA". It matches the Rfam family "Bacterial small subunit ribosomal RNA", at positions 28 to 507 of the family's 1533-position model. The record is from RNAcentral.